Molecule: unclassified non-coding RNA, 4644 nt
Filed under: Anthonomus grandis grandis
Lineage: Eukaryota; Metazoa; Arthropoda; Insecta; Coleoptera; Curculionidae
Description: protein transport protein Sec24A
Source: RNAcentral
GUUUUACGUUUUCGUAUUGCCAGUAUCCAAAAAGGGACUGUGAUUGCAAUAAUAAUGUUUUGCGACCCUUAUUCUCGCCAAUGUUAGUUACUACCGACAAAUAAUUUAAUCCCAGUUCCUCAUGCGUCACACCGAACAAUUAACAAGAAAAACGUGUCUGUAGCUAGAUAAGGUAUAAGAAAAACCAUGGCUGAGCCCAAUGGGAUGGCCUUUCCCCAUGGAAAACUACCACCAAUGCAUUUCAACGGUUUACACUCAAACAGCUCUUCGAGAGGGGCCUCUCCUGUCUCCAGAGCAGGAUUAAUACCCUCCUCGCAACUACCCCCAAGCAGGACCAGCAUACCGCAGUCACAGUUACCCCCAAUGAGAUCCACAACGGGAGGAUUAACCCAUAAAGUUGAUCAGCUAAGUAUCUCUGGCCAAAAUACUCCUAAUAUAAGUCCAAGCAGGUUUAGUGCGUCCACCCCAAACCAGGAAGGUUUACACAAACCCACUUUUAGUGAAAACUCAUCCCCUAUAGUGCCAACAAACCAUUUAGAUAAUGUGCCAUUAAAAGACAAUGCUUUGGACAAUGAAAAUAAAAAUGUGAACCCUAGUGCAGUGACCUCUUUAGGGCAAACGAGUCAAUAUUUCAGUCAAAGCUCCAGUCAGAGUAGUACUUUUGAAUCACAAUUGAAUGGCCCCACUAUUACCCCAAGUGUAUCACAGACCAUAAGCCAGCCACAUCUACAACAAACCACCACUACUAGUCAAACAAACAAUUCUACACAACACUAUUUUCAGUCUCAAAAUGUAGGGCAAGAGGCUCUAUUUAAUAUUCAACAAAGUGCACCACCACCUCAAAUAAGAAAUGUUCCUCAACAACCUUAUGGUGUAGCAACUCAGCAGAAUGUGGUGCAAAGUACUCCACAACCGAUGCAAACUGUUUCAAACUCUAAUAUUGCCAGUUCAAGUAGUAAUUGGCCCCAGCAGAGUGUUGUAGGGAGAAAUACUCCUCAAAAUUUAUUUGGACAGGGCCAACCGCCUUUUAGUGUCGGAAUUACUGCCAGUAGUUCAGUACAGCAGGCACAAAGUGUUAUGAGUCAACAGGUGAGACCUCCUCAGCCCCCAAACUCAGUUCAAAAUGGCCCUCAAAGCACACCCAUGCAACAACCACCUAAAAUAGGCCAGACACUCCCAACUCAAAAUCCUCCCACAAACUUCCCUUUUAAUUCAAAUCAAAAUAUCCAGCCCCAAAAUCCACUCACAAACCUCCCAUUCAGUUCCAAUCAAAAUGUCCAACCCAAAAACCUCCCAUUUAAUUCUAAUAAUAGUUCCCAAAACCCCCCCACAAUCCCUCCAUUUAGUUCUAAUCAAAAUAUGCACCCUCAAAAUCCUCCGAUCAGCUCAUAUCAAAAUAUCUCUGCCCAACAGAGACCUCCAAACCCCACUACUGUACCACCAAAUGUUGCUCAACUGCCUCCACAGGUUCAAAAACCACCACUAAACCAAAGGCCCAGAUAUCCACAGACUUUACCCCCUGGUCCUCCGCAAACCAGUCAGUUCAAUAGUGGAUUACCUCAAAGAGUUUCACCUUACAAUAACCAAGGACCUCCGCCAGCCCCCUCACAAAGGUUCAAUCCCCAAAUAAAUUACAAUGUGGGACCUUCAGUACAAAAUCAACCUGGCCAAGUGAAUUAUGGAGCGAACGGACCUCAGUCAUUGCCUCCAAUGAUCAAUAAUAGAUAUCCAACUGCUCCAAAUGGCCCCUCGCAGAUUCCACCCGGUGGAGUGGUAAAAACUGGAUUUAAUCGCCUCUGGGGUGCGGACCAUUACAAUUUACUGGAAACCCCGGAAAUUUUACCGCCGACCAAAUUGGAAACGCCCAAAGUGCAUUUGGGCCAAGAACAAUUAAAUCAGGCGAACUGUAGCACCGAAGUGUUCCGUUGCACCGUGACGAAAAUCCCGGAAUCCGCGUCGCUUUUGCAAAAAUCCCGGCUGCCCUUGGGACUUUUGAUUCAUCCGUUUAAAGAUUUGAGUUACUUGCCGGUGAUUCAGUGUAACGUGAUCGUGAGAUGUCGCUCCUGUCGCACCUAUAUUAAUCCGUUCGUUUACUUUGUGGACUCCAAAAGGUGGAAGUGUAAUCUUUGCUUUAGGGUGAACGAGUUGCCCGAGGAGUUCCAGUAUGAUCCGGUCAGUAAGACUUAUGGGGAUCCCAGUAGGCGCCCAGAGAUUAAGAGCAGUACUAUCGAGUAUAUUGCGCCUGCUGAGUAUAUGUUGAGGCCACCUCAACCUGCUGUUUAUAUGUUUUUGUUGGAUGUGUCGAGGUUGGCCGUGGAUAGUGGAUACUUGGAAAUUUUAUGUGCUGUUUUACUGGAGGAACUCAAAAAUUUACCGGGUGAUGCAAGAACCCAGAUAGGCUUCCUAGCCUAUGACUCUGCCCUACAUUUCUUCUCCCUAGCGGAAGGGUUAAAUCAGCCCCACGAAAUGACGGUUUUAGAUGUGGACGAUGUGUUUCUACCCACCCCCGAUAACCUCCUGGUUAACCUGAAAGACCGCAUGGAAAUGGUGGAGGAUUUACUGAAACUGUUACCCUCUCGUUUCAGUAACAGUUAUGACGAUUGCAGUGCCUUAGGGGCUGCUUUACAGGUGGCACACAAAAUGAUGGGACCAACAGGUGGCAGGGUGUCAGUGUUCCAAUCGGCCCUUCCCAACACAGGACCGGGCGCAGUCACCUCCAGGGAAGACCCCAACCAAAGAUCAACCGCGGAAACCGCCAUGCUGAACCCCAUAAACGAUUUUUAUAAGAGACUCGCCCUCGAAUGCUCCGGCCAACAAAUUGCCGUCGAUUUAUUCGUUCUUAACUCGCAGUACGUGGACAUGGCCACCAUCAGUGGCAUUAGCAGAUUCAGUGGAGGUUCGGUACAUCAAUUUCCGUUAUUCAAAUCCACCAGACCCUUACUAGUCGAUCAAUUCCAAAAGGACCUGCGAAGAUACCUGACGAGGAAAAUCGGGUUUGAGGCCGUAAUGAGGGUCAGGUGUACUCGUGGGAUGGCAAUUCAUACUUUCCAUGGAAAUUUCUUUGUGAGGUCCACUGAUCUUCUUUCGUUGCCGAAUAUUAACCCGGACGCCGCCUUUGGUAUGCAAGUGGCCAUAGAGGAGAACUUAACUGAUUCUCAGUCGGUUUGUUUUCAAGCCGCGCUUUUGUAUACGUCCAGUAAAGGUGAAAGAAGAAUCAGAGUUCACACAUUGUGCCUACCGAUCGCUAACACCUUGCAUGACGUAAUUCAUUCCGCAGACCAGCAGUGCAUUAUUGGUCUAUUAGGAAAAAUGGCCGUAGAUAGAUCGACGCAGUCGUCGUUAUCGGACGCCCGCGAAGCGUUCAUAAAUGCCGCCGUGGACGUUUUGACGUCAUACAAGUUUUCGUUGAAUAUGGGCAGCGCCACUUCGGGACUCCUAGCCCCCGAAAGUCUUAAAUUGUUGCCGCUGUAUAUCGCCGCUAUUUUAAAACAUCCGGCUUUUAGAAUAGGAACACCGACAAGGUUAGACGACCGAGUAAAAGCAAUGAUAGACAUGAAAACCCUUCCGUUACCGUUGCUAAUUCAACAAAUUUACCCCGACCUCUACCCCAUACACAACUUAGAAGACCAAUCGGUGAUUUUAAACAGCGAGGAGGAAGACGUGCCGCUACCACCCAGACUCCACCUGAGCUCCCGCAGUCUUUCGAACAAAGGAGCGUUCCUGUUGGACUCCGGGGAUCACAUGAUGAUCCUGGUGGGCCCCAAUGUCUCCAGAGAGUUCCUAACCGACGGCUUAGGGGUCCCAGACUACCAGUCGAUCGGAGACAGCAUGAUCGAAAUCCCCGUACUGGAAAAUCCGACCAACAAGAGGCUGAAUUUGUUCAUAAAUUAUUUGAACGAAGAAAAACCGUACGGAUUAUCGUUGCAAGUGAUAAGGGACAACAGUCCGCACCGCGGGUUAUUUAUCGGGAGAUUAAUCGAGGACAGGAUGGAGAAUUCGUUGAGUUAUUACGAGUUUUUGCAGCAUUUAAAGACGCAAGUGAAAUAGCGGAGCGACAAGCGGGUUUUUUGGCAAACGGUCGGCGAGUUUGCCGGCGGCAGGUGAAUUUUGCCAAAAAGCUGUGGAUUAUAAUCUUAAGGUGCGUGUAUAUUAGUUUAGAUAAUUAAAACGAAAAAAAAAACUAUUUAAAGACUUGUUAUAUGGCUUAGGAAAAACUGUUGUUACAAAUAAAAAAAUUGUUUUGCAGAGUAUAACCACGUUCUGCUCAAUUUUUUUUUACGAAAACACUACUGUAUAUAGGAACAAUUUACUCUUUGGUUGGUUUGUUUAGGGCUUGAAUUUAAAACCGGUCUGAUAUAUAUUUUAUUGUUUUCUUUAUUCUACACGUAAAAUUUGCUUAUAUUGGCCCAUACAUAGUUAAGAGUGACUGUUUUAGGUAUAACGUUUAUUGUUCUUUUAAAAUAUAUUGAUGUAUUUUAAUUUUAGAUGCAUUUUUGUCACAUAUUCACCCUGCGGUUAUAUGGUCUUUUUUUUUUGUUAGUUUAUUAUUAUUAUUAUAAUUAUUGAUAUUUUAAUUAUUGUGAUAUAAUAUAUUAUAUUUCUUUGUUCUAUGGAAGGAAGAAUCAUUAAAGUAGCAAUAAUUUU